GAGAGAUAGAGAGAGGGCGGGACCUAGGGAGGGGAGCAUACAUCUGCUGUAGAGAUAGAAACCCUAAAAUUACGGAGAUAUAGAGACAGAGCAAUGUCUGGAGGCAUAGCGCGUGGUCGUCUUGCUGAGGAGCGAAAGGCUUGGCGCAAAAACCAUCCCCAUGGUUUUGUAGCGAAGCCGGAGACUUUGCCUGAUGGGUCGGUGAAUUUGAUGGUGUGGCAUUGCACUAUCCCUGGAAAACCUGGUGAAAUGGAUCUCUUCAAAAAUCAUAAAAGCAGAUACUUGCUGAAAACUUAGUAGCUGCUUGACUGCUUCCUUCCUGAGUCACCUACACUGUUUGAUAAGUUUAUUGUCCCCACUAUUUAAUUUUUUUCACCUCUCUAUUGCAUGGCUUGGCUUAUUCUGGUAUUGUUGUGUAUUCUGGUACAGUACUAAUCUACCAAUUUACCAAAAGACAAGAAUUUGUACCUGACACUUUGCCUAUGAUAAACCACAAUAAUACCGUGGUACAGGAGGUAGUGCCCCUCUAUAGGCACUCUAUUAACUGAUUCAAUACUUCAUUUUGCUGGGUAAAAAAAGAAAAUAAUGGAAAAUCUGACAAGUAAAACUUGAAUUUCUUCAGUUGUAAUGUUGGGAUUUAAGUUGAAGUUUGACUUGGAGAAAUAGUUUCUGUCAUGACUUUAUUUUGUACUUCUGAUCUCUCUCUCUCUCUCUCCUGUAUUUUAGUAUCCUCAUAUGCCUAUGUUGCAAAGAUAAUACAUGACUUUGCACAUCCAUUGUGUUACCUCCCUCUCUUACUUCACGUAUAUUUAUGAUAAGGUUUGUCUUCAAGGCAUGUUUAGUUUGUUUUAUUUGGUUAUUUUUUUGAUCUCUAUUGGAAGAUAUCUCUUAAUUGGUAAAGAUGGAUAAGAAGGAUAAGAAUAGCGGAUAUAUCUUUACCUUGUAAUUUAUAUAUUUUCACAUCAAAUUGGAUGGUUUGACUGUAACUUUUAUGAUAUUGUAGACUGACUGGGAGGGUGGUUACUUUCCGCUUACACUCCACUUUAGUGAAGACUAUCCUAGCAAGCCUCCCAAGUGUAAAUUUCCUCAAGGUUUCUUCCAUCCUAAUGUCUACCCUUCUGGAACUGUUUGCCUGUCAAUCCUUAAUGAGGAUAGUGGGUGGAGACCAGCCAUUACUGUGAAGCAAAUUCUGGUGGGUAUCCAGGACCUGCUGGACCAACCAAAUCCUGCUGAUCCUGCACAAACUGAAGGUUAUCAUCUCUUUAUCCAGGAUGCUGUGGAGUACAAGAAAAGGGUUCGCCAGCAAGCCAAGCAAUACCCUCAUCUUGUGUAAUGUGAAAACUUCUAUAUCUAAGAACUGCUGGUUUAUGGUAACUAUUAGUUGCCCCACAAUUGUGUAAUGUUAAACUAGCUUUUGCUAAUAGUUGAUGGCAUUUGGUAAUUGUCACUGGCCUUUAUGUGUGACUGCAUGGUUGGACUGGCAUUUCAGCUCCACAGAUUUGGGAUUUGGGUUAAUCUUCGUUGAUAUGUCGCAGUAUACUGGUCAGCCAUUGUUACUCAUUGGUGUUUAUAGCAGUUAAAAUCUAAAAUUUAAGUUAUAUCACAAUUUCUUUGGUGUGAUGGGAAGUCAUAAUGUAUAUACAUGAUAAUUUGGAAAUUGAAAUUGGAUGAUUUUGCUAGUAAGAAGUGCAGGUUAGGUGUGAAAUUUUGAUGUGGUAGCAACUGCUUAAGAUGGUAGCUUUCUGAAAUGCAUGACAAGCGUCUGUUUGCCGUUCAUUCUUUUUUCGUUCAGUUGUUAUUGUCUAAUUAUUGAUGAAAUUUAU
RNAcentral lists this unclassified non-coding RNA (1823 nucleotides) under Hevea brasiliensis (rubber tree). The record is from RNAcentral. Lineage: Eukaryota; Viridiplantae; Streptophyta; Magnoliopsida; Malpighiales; Euphorbiaceae.